AUGCACUUGCUCAGUUGCUGAAGUAGCUCUCUUUCUCGUCCUUAAGAGCACACAUGUUUCUAAAACGUAAAAAAAAACCAUGUGAAAGAUUGCUAUUCUACAAUGGACCUUGAUAAAUUCUGAUGGAAAGGAAGUAAUACAAAGGUACACAUCAAGAAGAAAACUGCUUCUCAUUUUGAUUAUUCAUUUUAAUCAUGCACAACUUGCCAGAAUAUUCAUCAUAUUUGGAAGAAGAAGAAGCUAUGUCAUGAAAAAACUGCUUCAAAUACAGUGGUGUAUCUAGAGGAAAGAAAUGGAUUGAUUCAGAGAUACAAAACACGAUUUUAAAAGGACAAAGAUGUAAUGGGUGAAAAUGGAAGAAAAGAAAAAGAAAUACCAAACAAGAUUUUCCAGGGAUUUACAGGUCAUUGGUGAAAAUUGAAGAAAAGAUAAAUGAAAUAACAAAAAUAGUUAAAUGAUUUACAACCAAGCAGCACUCAGCAAUAGUGAUGAUGGUUAAACAAGAUUUAGUGCCUACCACACAGUUAAGAAAGCAUGAGAGACAAGAAUGUCUACAGAACAGAGGAGACUAUUUUUACUGCACUUAGAUUUGUGUUUUAGUUAUAUUCAAUUAGUAUUAAAGAGCUACCUACAAUAAAUCAUGUUAUAUUAUGUUCUUAGAUACUUUAUGUCAUUUUUCCUUCUCAUGCUUGGGGUUCUUUGCCAACAUGGGAUACUCCUAGUAAAGUGAAAAAUGCAUAUCUUUUUUUAACCUUUUUUCUAACAUGUGUAUCUGUAACAACUAGAAAUUUCAGAAGCAGUUUUAAUAUGCCUUUAUACUUGAUUACCUUUAAACUGAAUGUAGCUCCUAGUUAAGUUAGUGUUUAGAAUUCAUUUUAUAGGGGAGUCAUAAUCAGUGCCAAACAAUUAUUAUUGAUGGAGUUAUUCCCCUUGGAUAUAUAAAUCAUAUGAAAAAUUGCAUGGAAAGCUUUUUCAAAUCUACAUCAUUCAUAGGAUUGCUACGAAAUUCAUAUUGAAGGUUUAUCUUAGCAAUAAUUGGGGUUAGUUUGAAAUUCAUUUCAAUUAAUCCACUAUUUCUCCAUGAGUAAUGUCCCUUGGAAAUGUAAAUUAUAUAGGAAAUUGCCUUACACAUGUUUUAUAUCAAAUGCACUUUUGGCAAUUACAGAAUGAUUUUACACCAGACUAAACUGGAUUGAUUUUAACCUACUCACUUUCUGAAUGUGUUGACCCCAAGUUUUCUACACUAAUGACAUGGCUGGUUUUCUCCUUUGAACUAAAUUAUACAAUAUGGUAUGUGUUUUGCCAUUUUUGAAAGUCUCCA
Mytilus trossulus (common blue mussel) is the source of this 1321-nucleotide long non-coding RNA. RefSeq lists it as uncharacterized. NCBI's taxonomy places the organism in Eukaryota, Metazoa, Mollusca, Bivalvia, Mytilida, Mytilidae. The transcript is spliced from 5 exons. The record is from RefSeq and is a predicted model, not a curated record.